Molecule: ribosomal RNA, 628 nt
Filed under: uncultured bacterium
Lineage: Bacteria
Description: bacterial SSU rRNA
Rfam family: Bacterial small subunit ribosomal RNA
Source: RNAcentral
AGUCGAACGAGAUCCUUCGGGGUCUAGUGGCGCACGGGUGCGUAACGCGUGGGAAUCUGCCCUUAGGUUCGGAAUAACAGUUAGAAAUGACUGCUAAUACCGGAUGAUGACGUUAAGUCCAAAGAUUUAUCGCCUGAGGAUGAGCCCGCGUAGGAUUAGCUAGUUGGUGUGGUAAAGGCGCACCAAGGCGACGAUCCUUAGCUGGUCUGAGAGGAUGAUCAGCCACACUGGGACUGAGACACGGCCCAGACUCCUACGGGAGGCAGCAGUGGGGAAUAUUGGACAAUGGGCGCAAGCCUGAUCCAGCAAUGCCGCGUGAGUGAUGAAGGCCUUAGGGUUGUAAAGCUCUUUUACCCGGGAUGAUAAUGACAGUACCGGGAGAAUAAGCCCCGGCUAACUCCGUGCCAGCAGCCGCGGUAAUACGGAGGGGGCUAGCGUUGUUCGGAAUUACUGGGCGUAAAGCGCACGUAGGCGGCUUUGUAAGUUAGAGGUGAAAGCCUGGAGCUCAACUCCAGAACUGCCUUUAAGACUGCAUCGCUUGAAUCCAGGAGAGGUGAGUGGAAUUCCGAGUGUAGAGGUGAAAUUCGUAGAUAUUCGGAAGAACACCAGUGGCGAACGCGGCUCACUG